Molecule: unclassified non-coding RNA, 337 nt
Filed under: soil metagenome
Description: partial contains 5.8S ribosomal RNA, internal transcribed spacer 2, and large subunit ribosomal RNA
Rfam family: 5.8S ribosomal RNA (bases 1-120)
Source: RNAcentral
GAUGAAGAACGCAGCGAAAUGCGAUAAGUAAUGUGAAUUGCAGAAUUCAGUGAAUCAUCGAAUCUUUGAACGCACAUUGCGCCCGCCAGUAUUCUGGCGGGCAUGCCUGUUCGAGCGCCAUUUCAACCAUCAAGCCCCCCGGCUUGUGUUGGGGACCUGCGGCUGCCGCAGGCCCUGAAAAGCAGUGGCGGGCUCGCUGUCACACCGAGCGUAGUAGAUCUCAUCUCGCUCAGGGCGUGCUGCGGGUUCCGGCCGUUAAACCACCUUCAUAACCCAAGGUUGACCUCGGAUCAGGUAGGGAUACCCGCUGAACUUAAGCAUAUCAAUAAGCGGAGGA